UCUAAGGCUGAUGGCGACCGGCGCACGGGUGAGUAACACGUAUCCAACCUGCCGAUAACUCGGGGAUAGCCUUUCGAAAGAAAGAUUAAUACCCGAUGGUAUAAUAAAACCGCAUGGUUUAAUUAUUAAAGAAUUUCGGUUAUCGAUGGGGAUGCGUUCCAUUAGGCAGUUGGUGAGGUAACGGCUCACCAAACCUUCGAUGGAUAGGGGUUCUGAGAGGAAGGUCCCCCACAUUGGAACUGAGACACGGUCCAA
This 255-nucleotide ribosomal RNA is filed under the name uncultured bacterium. RNAcentral's name for it is "partial 16S ribosomal RNA". It matches the Rfam family "Bacterial small subunit ribosomal RNA", at positions 78 to 334 of the family's 1533-position model. The record is from RNAcentral.